Molecule: ribosomal RNA, 393 nt
Filed under: Phyllidia larryi
Lineage: Eukaryota; Metazoa; Mollusca; Gastropoda; Nudibranchia; Phyllidiidae
Description: partial 16S ribosomal RNA
Rfam family: Archaeal large subunit ribosomal RNA
Source: RNAcentral
AUUUAUUAACGGCCGCGGUACUUUGACCGUGCUAAGGUAGCGUAAUUAAUUGGCUUUUAAAUGAAGUCAGGUAUGAAUGGAGUUACGGGGUUUUACUGUCUCUAAACUAAUUUAUUGAAAUUACUAUAUAGAUGAAAAAGUCUAUAGAUUGAAAAAGGACGAGAAGACCCUUAGAGUUUUAUUUAAUGUAAUUUUUAAUUAUAAUGAUUUAGUUGGGGCAACAUAGGAACAAAUUAACUUCCUAAAAAUAAUUUACCGAUUUUUAUAAAAAUGUUUAAACUACCUUAGGGAUAACAGCAUAAUUUAAUAUAUAAGUUUGUGACCUCGAUGUUGGACUAGGAAAUCUAAGGGCUAGCCGCUCUCGGAAAAGGUUCUGUUCGAACUACAAUUCCU